Molecule: long non-coding RNA, 498 nt
Organism: Phragmites australis (common reed)
Lineage: Eukaryota; Viridiplantae; Streptophyta; Magnoliopsida; Poales; Poaceae
Exons: 2
Source: RefSeq, a predicted model, not a curated record
UAUCUCUCCUCUCUCUCUCUUUCGUAUCUCCUCCAGAUCCGGGAGGAGGAGGAGAAGGCAUGGGGAGGUGAGUGUAAAGGGGUGAGGCGCCAUGGGAAGGUGGCAUCGGGAGGUGAAUGGUGCUAGCACUGGCGCGGCAGUGCUGCAAGAUCGACUGCAGGCUUCAUGUGGCAAGCACGAAUAGCACCAACAAGCGCAAUUGGUGUCAUGCGCAGGUGGCCAGCAGCAAGGGCGACCAGCAGUGGGUGGUAGGAGAGCAUCAUCCGUGUGCGCGACCUUCCGCGGGCGACGGGCAUGGGGCCUAGGACCAGGCGGCGGCAGCUGGUGUCCCCUUCAACGGGACUCACUUCAUUUUUCCAUUGGCUCAUUUCAUUUUGCUGUUGAUGUAUUUGUACAUGUAGUAGAGCUUUGGUACUAAGUAUAUUUAGCAUCUGUCACAAGUUCCUUCUCUGUAAUAUAUAGCUGUUCUCGUUGAUUUUGUGUUUUGUUUUGCAAUAA